GAUGAACGCUGGCGGCGUGCUUAACACAUGCAAGUCGAGCGAGGCAAUCUAAGUGAAGUUUUCGGAUGGAUCUUGGAUUGACUGAGCGGCGGACGGGUGAGUAACACGUGGAUAACCUGCCUCACACAGGGGGAUAACAGUUAGAAAUGACUGCUAAUACCGCAUAAGCGCACGGCAUCGCAUGAUGCAGUGUGAAAAACUCCGGUGGUGUGAGAUGGAUCCGCGUCUGAUUAGGUAGUUGGUGGGGUAACGGCCCACCAAGCCGACGAUCAGUAGCCGACCUGAGAGGGUGACCGGCCACAUUGGGACUGAGACACGGCCCAAACUCCUACGGGAGGCAGCAGUGGGGAAUAUUGCACAAUGGGCGAAAGCCUGAUGCAGCGACGCCGCGUGAGUGAAGAAGUAUCUCGGUAUGUAAAGCUCUAUCAGCAGGGAAGAAAAUGACGGUACCUGACUAAGAAGCCCCGGCUAACUACGUGCCAGCAGCCGCGGUAAUACGUAGGGGGCAAGCGUUAUCCGGAUUUACUGGGUGUAAAGGGAGCGCAGACGGCGAUGCAAGUCUGGAGUGAAAGCCCGGGGCUCAACCCCGGGACUGCUUUGGAAACUGUAUGGCUAGAGUGCUGGAGAGGCAAGCGGAAUUCCUAGUGUAGCGGUGAAAUGCGUAGAUAUUAGGAAGAACACCAGUGGCGAAGGCGGCUUGCUGGACAGUAACUGACGUUCAGGCUCGAAAGCGUGGGGAGCAAACAAAAUUAGAUUCCCUGGUAGUCC
Molecule: ribosomal RNA, 768 nt
Filed under: uncultured bacterium
Lineage: Bacteria
Description: bacterial SSU rRNA
Rfam family: Bacterial small subunit ribosomal RNA
Source: RNAcentral